RNAcentral lists this small nuclear RNA (165 nucleotides) under Tursiops truncatus (common bottlenose dolphin). RNAcentral's name for it is "U1 spliceosomal RNA (ENSTTRG00000025316.1)". Lineage: Eukaryota; Metazoa; Chordata; Mammalia; Artiodactyla; Delphinidae. The record is from RNAcentral.
AGACUUUCUCGGCAAGUUUUCGCUUUGACUCGAGGUACGAGUGGUCACACCCAGAACGAAGCUUAUUCGUCGUUCUGCGGAUGUUGACCGUUGUGAUUUCCCUAAGUGUGAGAAACGGAACUGCAUGAUUUAUGGCAGUGCGGGAUUGCGUUUGUGCUCCCCUCU